UACAGUCAGGGCGCGCGGCGGAGGCGAGGCCAGGGCGGCCCCCGCCCCUCCCGGCCGCUCCCCCUAGCCCCGCGCCGGCUCCUCCCUCCGGCCCUCGGCGGGCACCUGGCGGCGGCGGGCAGGGGGCGGCGCUGCGCGCGUCACGCGUCUGGGUGGGAUAGCGGGCAGGUGACACCCGGCGGCCUCCUCCCCUUUCCAGCCCAGUCGGCGGCCGGGACAGCAGGGGCCGCUGUGAGGAGCUCCGCGCUCGCACUGCCAGCCGCCGCCCUCUCUCCCGCGCGCGCCGGGCGCUUCGGCUCGGCUCCCUGUGCGGUGAGUGCGGGGCUCCAGGCCGGCGGGCAGGGGCCAAACUUUCCCGGGGCGCGGAGGAGAAGAGACGCGGGAGGGAGGCAGAGCCGAGGGAAACGGCGUCGGGAGCAGCCGGAUGGAGGAACCUGGGCGCGGCGAGCGAGAAGUGGGGCCCGGGUGCGGGGGCCCCGGGAGCCGGGCCAGGCCCUCCCUGGGCUCGGGAGGCGUUUAGGAAGUUCUGUCCCCGCCGCCUGCGCGUGGGGAGGGCCGAGGCCCUUUUCCGCCAGAGCGCGGGGCCGCGGCGCUCACCUGCGCCUUCUCCAGGAGCCUACUCCCGGCAGCAUCCUGAAGGGAAGUCGGGCCCGGUGGGCGCGCUGCGGAGCGGAGCCUGGACUGGGGUCCCGCGCGGCGCCGGCUCUGCGGAGCGGGAGGGACAGAGGUGCUCGCCGGCGGGACUGGGAGGGAGAAGGACUUGCUCGACCUUGGACGCGGAGGUCAUUGUCCCAGCUCCGGGGUCUGGUCUCGCUAGCCAGCCCUCCAAAUUCCGGAGCCCCUUUCUUUCUGUUUCCUUCCUUCCCCUUUGGGCGCUUUUUUUGCUCCCGCGGCCGGAUGAACUUGGGGCGCUGUCCCAUCGGCUCCCCGAGCCGCAUCCUGUCCCGGUGGCUGCUGCUGGCCGGGAGGAGGCUGAUGAAUACAGAGCCGUGGAACAGGUCCUGCCGGAGAUGGAAACAGGAAAGCCUGUUGUUUUGUCGUCCCAGACAGGAUUUCACCAUGUUAGCCAGGCUGGUGUCGACUCCCGAUCUCAGGUGAUCUGCCCACCUCGGCCUCCCAAAGUGCUGGAAUUACAGGCCGUCCGUCCUGCAGUGAGUCUCUUUACAUGUAUUUUCUAAUGAAUCUUUUGAAGCCAGCAAAGUCUGGCUUAUCGUAUGCACAGGUACAGAAAGGUGAAGAAAGCAGAAAGGGUGCUCAGGCUACACUAUUAGAAGUAUGCAGCCAGGGUUUCAACUGAGGUGUAAUUACAAGGUUUAGGCUCUUCCCACUCUGAAUACUUACUCUGUGGAUUGAUAUAUUUGAGAAUAUAGGAGGCCCUAGGACUCUGAUAUCUUACAAUAGUUUUGUGAGGGCAUAAGGGCAACCAUAAAAAUAAAUACAGACUUUUUAGGGUCAAUGGUAGAAAUGUGAGAUCUAGACAAAGAGAGUUUCAUUAGCAGCCCUUAAUCUAAAUGCAGCCCCAUCCCCCAACUCUUCUCCUUCUUUCUCUCCCAAAUUUUUGGGUUUUGUCCUAAUAGCACAUUUGUGAUUUGUUUGUGUGUUUAUUUUAAUUAAAUGCUCUAACAAGGGCAGAACAAAAGUAAAGGGCACUUAUUACUUAAAGGUGACUUAUUUUAAGUCUGUUCAGGGACUUCUCUGUCCCUCAUCUUACCUGUCUUUUUGUGCCUUCUUCAGGCAGACAGUGCUGUGCUGCAUCCUGCAGGACAGAAAGAUUUAUGUCUCAGAAAUAAACCAGCCAUUGAACAAUGUUGACCCACAUUUUAAUCACUCUGCCGCUUAUCAUUCAGUUAGCUAGAAAGCACAGCUGAUAGCUUCAUCCUUCAUCCUCUUCUUUGUAAUUCUAACAGGUGUGACUUUAACUUGCAGAAAGAAAGAUAGAAAUGGCAUUCCUAGGAAUCCAUAGUCCAAUGACUGAUUAUUCAGUAGCUUAGGGUGAGUUCCUAAGCAAAUGUGGAAUGGAAUUUUUUAAAUCAAGCUGUGAGAACCACUAUUCAUUGUUCAAAAGGAAAAAAAUGGUAGUGGAUGUGAUAUUUAACAUAAAAUAUAGUCAGUGUUUUUAAAUAAAGUGUGUGUGUGUGUGUGUGUGAAUAUGGUUGAACAUAUGCAGUUGCUCUUUCUAUAGAUGAAUAAACAGUUGGAUGUUGGCAGUUUGCAUAUGGUUCAUCCUGAUUCAAAUACAAUCCCGUUGACAUCUAACAGUUGACCAAUGAGCCUAUACUCUUCAUUUCCCUAUAAGCACAUGGGGUGGUGCCCAGGCAUGGUGAACACUGGCUUCUAGUAGUCUCCUUCCUUCUCCAACUGCUGGGUUAUUGGCUUAACAACAAUUUAUUGUAUUUAUUGAAAACAUGUUAGUGCCAGUUAUACUUGUUAUUGUGAUAGAUAAUUUAGAUGUGCAUAAACUUAUGAAAUGUAAGUGCAAAAAAAGAAUAUUGUUAUUAUGAAAGGAAUGUUGAAUUCUUUGGAAAGGUUCCAUAAAAGUGAGUCACUAAGGGGUCAGGAAAACUAAAAAAAUCAGAAAGAUGGCUGGGUGUAACAGCUCAUGCCUGUAAUUCCACCAUUUUGGGAAGCCUAGGUGGGAGGAUCACUUGAGGACAAGAGUUCAAGACGAGCCUGGGCAACAUAGUGAGACAUCCAUCUCUACAAAAAAUUUUAAAAAUAACGGGGUGUGGUGGCAUGCAUCUGUAGUCCUAGCUACUCCAGAGGCUGAAGUGGGAGAAUCCCUUAAGUCCAGGAGGUUGAGGCUGCAGUGAGCUAUGAUUGCACCACUGUACUUCAGCCUCGAUGACAGAGUGAGACCCUGUCUAAAAAAAAUUUUUUUUAAUAAAAAAAACAGAAAUUGUAAAAAUUUGAAAAAUAUCCUGAGCUUGCCAGAAAAGUGUGUGUAGUUGUGUUAUUUUAUUUUGUUUUGUUUUGUUUUCAAUUCACUUAGAAAGUUAAAAUUGGAAACUGUAGAAGAUAAGUUCUAGGUAUGGUUUAUAUCGGAAAAAUAUUGGCGAGGAGCUCUUCCCCAAGGACAGCCUUGGGACUACUUUGUCUUUUUUUUUUUUCCCCAAGAUGGGAUCUCACUGUGUCACCCAGGCUGGAAUGCAGUGGCAUGGUCUCAGCUGCUGCAACCUCUGCCUGCUGGGCUCAGUUGAUCCUCCCAGGCUCAAUUGAUCCUCCCACCUCAGUCUCCCACGUAACUGGGACUACAGGUGUGCACCACCACACCCGGCUAAUUUUUGUGUUUUGGUAGAGACAGGGUUUUGCUAUGUUGCCCAGGCUCGUCUUGAACUCCAGAGCUUAAGUGAUCUACCCGCCUUGGCCUCCCAAAGUGCUGGAAUUACAGGUGUGAACCACUGUGCCCAGCCCUUGGGACUACUUUGGAAAAUUGGAGAAUUAAUACCUAUUUAUAUUUUUUAAGAAAAAGUAAAUGUUUAUAGUAUCUAAAUAAAUUUUUGAUUCUUUGCUAUAAAUAAAUUUUUAACAAUCAACUAAUCAAAACUAGUCAGAAUUCCUGCUCCUGUUAGUCUGACUGUAAUAGUUUACGCUAUAGUGUAGUACAUAGUCAGAACCUUCACUUAGCAUACCGUACUAAUGGUAUAUAAUCAACUCAUACUUCUUAUUUUAUGUGAUUUUUUGAGAGACAGUGUCUUACCGUGUUGCCCAAACUGAUCUCAAACUUCUGGCAUCAAACAUUCCUCCCAUCUCAGCCUCCCAAGUAGCUGGGAUUACAGGUUUAAGCUACUCUGCCUGGCUCAUGCUUCUUAUUUUAAAUUGGGCUUUCAUUAGUAACAUCUAUAUAACAUUUAAGUUUAUUUUAAUAAUGUGAACCAAUAUGCAGAACUUAGAGCUGGUUCCUACCUGCAUUAAAUGGCUUACAUAAAAACUGAAAGCAAAAAUACAUAGUAUAACAUUAGCUAGAGUUUAUUAAACUUGAAAAAUUUAUUAGUGUUAUUAAACUGACAAGUUGAAUUGGUCAAGGUGUAACUUAUUUUAGAUUCAAACAGUAGUUAUAAAAGUAUAGUUAUGCUUUUCUGAAGUAUGAGUAGGUUGAUGAAAAAAGGCCAAACUUAAAAAAAUAUAAAAAUAAAAUGAUAUUUUACAAUAAUAAAAUAUAAAAUGAUAUUUUAUGCUUUUAUAAUUUUAAUUUUAUACUUUUAAUUUUAAUUUUAAUUUUAUACUUUUA
This is a long non-coding RNA of Papio anubis (olive baboon), 4228 nucleotides long. The record is from Ensembl. NCBI's taxonomy places the organism in Eukaryota, Metazoa, Chordata, Mammalia, Primates, Cercopithecidae.